This 653-nucleotide long non-coding RNA is filed under the name Triticum aestivum (bread wheat). RNAcentral's name for it is "long non-coding RNA (TAES_LNC006730)". Lineage: Eukaryota; Viridiplantae; Streptophyta; Magnoliopsida; Poales; Poaceae. The record is from RNAcentral.
UACUGGUAAGAGCAGAAUGUUUCUUGCUCUAUUUGAUUUUUAGGCAUGUUUUCCUAACUCAAUGAAAUCAUGCAUUUGAUUUAGCCACUAACGAGAAUGGAAAGAAGGAAGAGGAAUAGAGAAGAGAAGAGGCCUCUGAAGGAUCUCUUAGUACCUGAGGAGAAAGAGGUGGAUAAGAGGGAAGACGGAGAGGGGGAUACGAACGAGGACGAGAAAGAUUAUGAGAAGACAGAGACCGGGGAGAAAUAUGAUGGGAAUAUCGUGGAGAAACCAGAUAUAUCUGUAAGCGCAAAAUUUCUAGAAUGAUUUCAUGUAUUGUUGGAAAAUGCUGCCCCUCAAAACCUGUUUCUCGCAGGGCAUUCGUGGCAACUUGAAUAUAAGGCCUAUUGUUUUUUUGGGACGGCCAACCCAUGUUAUCCAUCAGAUAAAUGAUGGCCCGUGUGCCCUUAUUGCAGUCUGCAAGUGAAAUUGGCUUUACUUUCAAUUUUUGUAUUUCAUUUCCUCAUGUUUUGUAUUUAUUCUUUUUUUUGCACAGGUAAUCUUCUACUGCUCCAGGGGAGCAUCUUUUUUGAACCACAUGAAACUGUGGUGUCAAUGGAAUAUCUACUUAACUUUGUCUUUUCUUUACUUGAAGAUAGUGAGAAAAUGAAGGU